AAGCUCCACCAACUUGCUUAAUUAAUUUACUUUUGAAUUUUAAAGUUUACUCAGAACUUCUAUUUUUUUGGUCUAUGUUCCUGUUCAGUUUGCCAGUUCAUAGAGUUACUGGAUUGUCUUCCUCAUGUAAACAGUGAAAGUGAUACUGUCCCCUUUAAUCCACCCGAAUCACAGGAAUUAAAUCUUCAGACUGCAGUGAUGACCCUAAAUUAGGUGAUAGAUUUUGUUAAGUGAUCCCGCAGAACAGCUCUGCAGAGAAAUGAUUGAGAAGUUAAUCUGUUCCGCUGAGAUGAGAAGUGUAUCUUUGUCCUUGGGAAGCUGCAGUCUGUCCAGGCAGUGACCUUCUUGGAGCCGUACCAUUUCUCAGUACAUAGGAUGCCAAUACCUGGGAAGAGCAGAAGAAUCCAAUUGCUCAGUUGGUUUCAUUCACAAACUAGGAAGUAUGCAAGUCUUGAAGAAGAAAAACCUUGAGAUUCUACAGGAGUGAGCAAUGUACGUAGAAACUGCUGAUGACAAAGAGUAAAAGAAAUAUCAUUUAUAGAAUAUUACAGAAUAGGAAUGUUUGCUGUUAUCAUUUGCUGUAAUCAAACAGCAAUCAAAUUAUUAUGAAGCAGUUUGUCGCCUUUACUUGCAACGUUAACUUUUUACUGGUUCAUAAACUUUUUACACUCAAGGAAAUUAAUUUAGGUGUGAUCUUCAGACUGUGCUUUAAAAGGCCAUUGGAACAUCCAUUUCUCUUUAAUACAUGCUAUAUGGGAUAAUAUGCUCCCCAUAUGCAGUUUACUACACGGCUGUAUUUUUUCUGUUGACUUCAUUUUUCGCAAUUGAACGUUUUUUUUUCAGAAUACAUCUUUUGUAUUAUAAUAUCAUUAAGUCGAUAUGCUGCAUUUUAAAUCCAGUUUGUGAGUGCAUUUGGUCAGGUUCUGAAUUGGUGCAAAUCAGUGUACAGCUCCUGACUUGAGUGGCAUUUCAUUGGUUUGUGCCGGCUGAAAAUCACUAAUGCUUCAGCAUUAAAGAUUCUGUUAACUUUCUCAGAAGAAGGCAAUACAUUACGACCACACGAAUGUAUUUCUAAGACAGUUAUUUGUCUGUAAUUAAAGUGGCAAAUUUUAAUCUACUGAGUAUUUCA
RNAcentral lists this long non-coding RNA (1129 nucleotides) under Gallus gallus (chicken). RNAcentral describes it as "lncRNA (ENSGALG00010015534.1)". Lineage: Eukaryota; Metazoa; Chordata; Aves; Galliformes; Phasianidae. The record is from RNAcentral.